AGAUCCCUUAAAGAUGAUGAGGUUGAUAGGUCCGGUGUGGAAGUACCGUAAGGUAUGGAGCUAACGGAUACUAAUGGAUCGAGGGCUUAACCUAA
Molecule: ribosomal RNA, 95 nt
Filed under: Tepidibacillus fermentans
Lineage: Bacteria; Bacillati; Bacillota; Bacilli; Caryophanales; Bacillaceae
Description: partial 23S ribosomal RNA
Rfam family: Bacterial large subunit ribosomal RNA
Source: RNAcentral